Long non-coding RNA from Dicentrarchus labrax (European seabass), 720 nucleotides. RefSeq lists it as uncharacterized. Lineage: Eukaryota; Metazoa; Chordata; Actinopteri; Moronidae. The transcript is spliced from 3 exons. The record is from RefSeq and is a predicted model, not a curated record.
UUGUCUUUCAUGUUGGUGAGUCCUUGUCUUAUAAAGGUCACCUGCUGUGAGGUUUUUGACAUUUGUUUGGUAUUAACAGCUGUAAAAACCACCACUGCCAUGUGUUUGUAGUUUGCUACUAGCUGCUGCCCCCAGCUAGUUAACGGUGCAUUUAGCUGGUGUGUUUUACUGGAAUGAGCACCAGAGCCAAAGUCAGGCGAGCUGGCAACAGACCUGGGCUCAGCAGCCUUUCGGUGACCACGGCCGGGACUGAACACAACCUUCAAGACUGUGAGAGAGGCCAUGUGAUUUACAGCGGCUCAACCUGGACACUGACUCCAGGGACAAAGAAGACACAGUGGGUUCGUGCAGGGACAGGAGGGGUGUGAAUCAAGAGGAGCGAGUUGAUUUUGUGUAGGAUUUCGUGGCAUCUAGUGGUGGAGCUGCAGAUUGCAAUUUACUGAACACAGCUCGCAUCUUUAUUUGACGACCUGGAAAUGAGAACGGGCUUUGUGUAAGUGUGUGGGAGAAACUACGAAGGCCACAAAACUCGCAAAAGUCUACAGCCAGUGUUUGGUUUGUCCGUCCACCAGAAACAUGGUGGACUCCAUUGAAGCACACCUGUCAGCAAUUGGCUCAUCACCUCUCUCCCAGUCUUCCAACUCAUCAACUCAGCUGUACCUACUCCGGUUCUCCAUCCCCUCAGGGCCAGAUUUUUUCUUCAAUCUCAGUGGAUCCCAG